This 1930-nucleotide ribosomal RNA is filed under the name marine metagenome. Its description in RNAcentral is "bacterial LSU rRNA". It matches the Rfam family "Bacterial large subunit ribosomal RNA", at positions 486 to 2512 of the family's 2925-position model. The record is from RNAcentral.
GAUAGUGAACAAGUACCGUGAGGGAAAGGUGAAAAGGACCCCUGCUAGGGGAGUUUAAAGUUCCUGAAACCUUGUGCCUACAAAGUGUGGGAGCGUCUUUAUGGCGUGACCGCGUGCCUUUUGCAUAAUGAGUCUGCGAGUUAUUGUCAGUGGCAAGUCUAAGUCCUAAUGGGACGUAGGCGAAGCGAAAGCGAGUGUGAAUAGCGCGUCCAGUCGCUGGCGAUAGACCCGAAGCGGAGGUGAUCUAACCAUGAGCAGGUUGAAGCUGCAGUAACAUGCAGUGAAGGACCGAACCGGUGUGCGUUGAAAAGUGCUCGGAUGACUUGUGGUUAGGAGUGAAAGGCUAAUCAAACCCCGUAAUAGCUGGUUCUCUCCGAAAUAGCUUUAGGGCUAGCGUCGGGUGAGUACUCCGAGGAGGUAGAGCACUGAUAGGCUUAGGGUCCCUAACCGGAUACCAAAACCUGUUAAACUCCGAAUGCCUCGGAUCCAUUACCCCGGCAGUCAGUCGAUGAGUGAUAAGAUCCAUCGUCGAGAGGGAAACAACCCAGAUCACCGACUAAGGUGCCUAAAUACCGUUCAGUGGUAAGGAGGUGAAGUGACAUAGACAGUGAGGAUGUUGGCUUAGAAGCAGCCACCAUUUAAACAGUGCGUAACAGCUGACUCAUCGAGUUACUUCGCGCCGAAAAUGAUUGGCGAUCAAACGGUAUACCGACGUCGUGAAUGUCUUCGGACAUGGUAGGAGAGCGUAGUCUUUGCAUCGAAGCUGUUCUGUAAAGAGCGGUGGAGCGGAGACUAGCGAGAAUGCAGACAUGAGUAGCGAUAAACAAAGUGAGAAUCUUUGUCUCCGUAAACCUAAGGUUUCCUGGGCCAGGCUCGUCCUCCCAGGGUUAGCCGGGACCUAAGGCGAGGCCGAAAGGCGUAGUCGAUGGAUAACAGGUUAAUAUUCCUGUGCUAAUGCGCAACAUGGGACGCAUGGCAGAAAGGUGACACACACAAUGAUAUGUGAGUCUAGGCUUCGGCCGAAACACGUCACCCGCAGCUGUGCCGAGAAAACCGCGCAGGCCCGUACCGUAAACCGACACAGGUAGGUGAGUCGAAUAGACUAAGGAGCGCGAGAGAAAUCUCUCCAAGGAACUCGGCAAAUUAGCCCCGUAACUUCGGAAGAAGGGGUGCCCAUUUCGGUGGGCCACAGUAAAUUGGGACUGGCGACUGUUUACCAAAAACACAGCUCUCUGCAAAGUCGUGAAGACGACGUAUAGGGAGUGACACGUGACCAAUGCGAAAAGAUUAAGGUGACUUGUUAGCCCUUGAGGCGAAGCUCGGAGCCCAAGUCCUCGUGAAUGUCGGCCGUAACUAUAACGGUCCUAAGGUAGCGAAAUUCCUUGUCGGGUAAGUUCCGACCUGCACGAAUCGUGCAACGACCGGUCCGCUGUCUCGGAGAGAAUCUCGGCGAAGUUGUAAUUGCGGUGAAGAUGCCGCAUACCCGCAGUAGGACGGAAAGACCCUGUACACCUUUACUAUAAGCAAGUAUUGGCUUCUGAUUAGUGAUGCGUAGCGUAGGUGGGAGACUUUGAAGUGAUGGCUUAGGUUGUCAUGGAGUCGAAAUGUGAAACACCACUCUUUAUUAAUUAGGAUUCUAACAACGAUUUCUCUGAAGCGAGACGUUGAACAGUGCUUGCGGGUUAGUUUGACUGGGGCGGUUUCCUCCCAAAAAGUAACGGAGGAGCACUAAGGUACCUUCAGCAUGGUUAGCAACCAUGCGUCGAGCGUAUGCGUAGAAGGGUGCUUGACUGCGAGACCUACAAGUCGAGCAGGUACGAAAGUAGGUGCAAAUGAUCCGGUGGUAGAACGUGGAAUUGCCAUCGCUCAACGGACAAAAGGUACGUCAGGGAUAACAGGCUGAUCGCGCCCAAGAGUUCAUAUCGACGGC